CGAGCACGCGCGUGUGGCAUAUCAAUAAGCGGAGGAAAAGAAACUAACAAGGAUUCCCUUAGUAACGGCGAGUGAAGCGGGAAGAGCUCAAAUUUGAAAUCUUCAAGGUUCUACCUUGACGAAUUGUAGUUUAUAGAAGUGUUUUCUGUUAGUGGAGUGGCAAAAGUUCUUUGGAAUAGGACAUCAUAGAGGGUGAGAAUCCCGUAUUUGGAUCAUUCUCCUAGCUGUUGUGAUACACUUUCAACGAGUCGGAUUGUUUGGGAAUGCAGUCCAAAAUGGGUGGUAAAUUUCAUCUAAAGCUAAAUAUUGGCGAGAGACCGAUAGCGAACAAGUACCGUGAGGGAAAGAUGAAAAGAACUUUGAAAAGAGAGUUAAACAGUACGUGAAAUUGUCAAAAGGGAAGCGUUUGACACCAGUGUUGUUUUUCCGAAAAUCAAUUACGAAUGUUUUGUUUUUGAGGAGUUACGACUUCAUCGGCUUGCUCCUUUCUUUAUGAAACUUUCUUAAUGCGCUUUUCGGUUAACAAGUCAACAUCAAUUUCUUUUGUUGUAAAAGGGCAUGAGGAAGGUGGCUUUCUUUUCGGAGAAAGUGUUUAUAGCCUUGUGCCUCUGCAAUCGGAGAAAUUGAGGUCUGCAGCGUAGAUCCUUCGGGGUUAGAUACGUUUGUGCUAAGUUAUAGCUUUUCAUAGACAACUUGUUGACUAUGUUUAGUCUUGUAGCUUACUCGCUGGCGCUAUUUUACCUACGCUUAGGAUGUUGAGCGCAUGUCUCUCUCU
This 775-nucleotide ribosomal RNA is filed under the name uncultured Neocallimastigales. RNAcentral's name for it is "partial large subunit ribosomal RNA". It matches the Rfam family "Eukaryotic large subunit ribosomal RNA", at positions 19 to 616 of the family's 3401-position model. Lineage: Eukaryota; Fungi; Neocallimastigomycota; Neocallimastigomycetes; Neocallimastigales. The record is from RNAcentral.